GAUGAACGCUAGCUACAGGCUUAACACAUGCAAGUCGAGGGGCAGCAUGAAAGGAACUUCGGUUCUUUUUGAUGGCGACCGGCGCACGGGUGCGUAACGCGUAUCGAACCUGCCUCAUACUCGGGGAUAGCCUUGCGAAAGUAAGAUUAAUACCCGGCGGUCUCGGAUGGCCGCAUGACUAUCCGAGUGAAGAUUUAUCGGUAUGAGAUGGCGAUGCGUCCCAUUAGCUUGUUGGUGGGGUAACGGCUCACCAAGGCAUCGAUGGGUAGGGGUUCUGAGAGGGAGGUCCCCCACAUUGGAACUGAGACACGGUCCAAACUCCUACGGGAGGCAGCAGUGAGGAAUAUUGGUCAAUGGACGAAAGUCUGAACCAGCCAAGUAGCGUGCAGGAUGACGGCCCUCUGGGUUGUAAACUGCUUUUAGUUGGGAAUAAAAAGAGGGACGUGUCCCUUAUUGUAUGUACCAUCAGAAAAAGGACCGGCUAAUUCCGUGCCAGCAGCCGCGGUAAUACGGAAGGUCCAGGCGUUAUCCGGAUUUAUUGGGUUUAAAGGGAGCGCAGGCGGCGGCGUAAGUCAGUUGUGAAAUCGUGCGGCUUAACCGUGCAAUUGCAGUUGAUACUGCGUCGCUUGAGUGCACACAGGGAUGUUGGAAUUCAUGGUGUAGCGGUGAAAUGCUUAGAUAUCAUGAAGAACUCCGAUCGCGAAGGCAUAUGUCCGGAGUGCAACUGACGCUGAGGCUCGAAAGUGUGGGUAUCAAACCAGG
RNAcentral lists this ribosomal RNA (762 nucleotides) under uncultured bacterium. RNAcentral describes it as "bacterial SSU rRNA". It matches the Rfam family "Bacterial small subunit ribosomal RNA", at positions 28 to 777 of the family's 1533-position model. The record is from RNAcentral.